CUCCUGCCUCAGCCUCCCGAGUAGCUGGAACUACAGAAAUGGUGGAUUUUCUACAAGGCAAAGGAGUUGAAAUUCUGAAGGCUCUUGGGCAGACUCCUGACACCAGGACUCACCACCCCCUACAACCUGCCCCCAAAGCACUGCUGUAGCCCCUUAGUAGGUACACCACCGCCUGCCCCAAGGCACAGGGCCCCUCCUUUAAAACCCCAAGAUCUCUGUUAGUUGGAGAGACGGAUUUGAGGUGGCUUCUUCCAUUCUCCUGCAAGAUGUCUGUGUUUGUGUAUUAAAAGUCCCUUUCUUA
Long non-coding RNA from Lemur catta (Ring-tailed lemur), 301 nucleotides. RefSeq lists it as uncharacterized. Lineage: Eukaryota; Metazoa; Chordata; Mammalia; Primates; Lemuridae. The record is from RefSeq and is a predicted model, not a curated record. The transcript is spliced from 2 exons.